Molecule: ribosomal RNA, 428 nt
Filed under: Hypsiboas aff. semilineatus AF-2016
Lineage: Eukaryota; Metazoa; Chordata; Amphibia; Anura; Hylidae
Description: partial 16S ribosomal RNA
Rfam family: Archaeal large subunit ribosomal RNA
Source: RNAcentral
CAUCGCCUCUUGAGUCCAAAUAAGAGGUCCAGCCUGCCCAGUGAAAUUAUUCAACGGCCGCGGUAUCCUAACCGUGCGAAGGUAGCGUAAUCACUUGUUCUUUAAAUGAGGACUAGUAUGAAUGGCACCACGAGGGUUCUACUGUCUCCUUUUUUUAAUCAGUGAAACUAAUCUUCCCGUGAAGAAGCGGGAAUUUUUUUAUAAGACGAGAAGACCCUAUGGAGCUUAAAACAAACGACAUUUGCUUUAUCUAAUACUCGUAUCUGCAAGAAAUAUAGCAUUUUAAUCUUUAGUUUUCGAUUGGGGUGAUCACGGAGUAAAAUUUAACCUCCACGCCGAAAGGGUUUAUCCCUGAGCAAAAAGCUACAACUUUAAGCACUAAAAAAUUAACGUAAUUUGACCCAAUAUAUUGAUCAACGAACCAAGUU